RNAcentral lists this long non-coding RNA (383 nucleotides) under Rattus norvegicus (Norway rat). RNAcentral describes it as "long non-coding RNA NONRATT003833". Lineage: Eukaryota; Metazoa; Chordata; Mammalia; Rodentia; Muridae. The record is from RNAcentral.
UGGUGAUGCCUGUGGAGAUGGAAGCUUUUGAGGCUCUUAAGAGCAGGGCAGUGGGGCCUUCUGCUUUGAGACCUACCAGGCAAGACACGCCACCCAAGCGUCAUCUCAUCACCCCUGUUCCUGGUCAGUCAGAGUCCUAUAACCUGGGGAAAUGGGACAACCCUGGGGACAUUGAAACAGGGAGAACAGGCCUUCUGUCCUUGCCUCCAAGCAGGGUCACCGUAAUCAGGAAGGAAAGUGCUGUCCUCCAGGCCACUGUUACUCACGCAUACCUGUACAGGACCUUUUAAAACUACAUGUUUUUAAAUCUGGUCCCUUGGCUCUGCCAAAGUAGAACUGUAUUAAAAUACAAAAUACUAUUAAUAAUAGGUCUGUCCACCUGA